UACGAGAGGUGCAAGCGUUGUCCGGAUUUAUUGGGCGUAAAGCGUUUCUAAAGGCGCUUUUGUAAGUUAUCUUUCAAAGACCGAGGCUUAACCUCGGGAAGGGAGAUAAUACUGCAAGAGUUGAAAUAUUUCGGGGUUACUAGAACUAUUGGUGUAGGGGUGAAAUCCGUUGAUAUUAGGAAGAACACCGGUGGCGAAGGCGGCCAUCUGGCUCGGUACUGACGCUCAGGUUCGAAAGCGUGGGGAGCAAACAGG
RNAcentral lists this ribosomal RNA (255 nucleotides) under uncultured bacterium. Its description in RNAcentral is "partial 16S ribosomal RNA". It matches the Rfam family "Bacterial small subunit ribosomal RNA", at positions 524 to 776 of the family's 1533-position model. The record is from RNAcentral.